This 89-nucleotide transfer RNA is filed under the name Staphylococcus aureus. RNAcentral describes it as "tRNA-Leu(taa)". It matches the Rfam family "tRNA". From Rfam's summary of the family: Transfer RNA (tRNA) molecules are approximately 80 nucleotides in length. Their secondary structure includes four short double-helical elements and three loops (D, anti-codon, and T loops). Lineage: Bacteria; Bacillati; Bacillota; Bacilli; Caryophanales; Staphylococcaceae. The record is from RNAcentral.
GCCGGGGUGGCGGAACUGGCAGACGCACAGGACUUAAAAUCCUGCGGUGAGAGAUCCCCGUACCGGUUCGAUUCCGGUCCUCGGCACCA